Molecule: ribosomal RNA, 472 nt
Filed under: uncultured bacterium
Lineage: Bacteria
Description: partial 16S ribosomal RNA
Rfam family: Bacterial small subunit ribosomal RNA
Source: RNAcentral
GACGAACGCUGGCGGCGUGCUUAACACAUGCAAGUCGAACGCUGAAGCUUGGUGCUUGCACUGGGUGGAUGAGUGGCGAACGGGUGAGUAAUAAGUGAGUAACCUGCCCUUGACUCUGGGAUAAGCCUGGGAAACUGGGUCUAAUACUGGAUACGACAUGUCACCGCAUGGUGGUGUGUGGAAAGGGUUUUAGUGGUUUUGGAUGGGCUGACGGCCUAUCAGCUUGUUGGUGGGGUAAUGGCUCACCAAGGCGACGACGGGUAGCCGGCCUGAGAGGGUGACCGGCCACACUGGGACUGCGACACGGCCCAGACUCCUACGGGGGGCAGCAGUGGGGAAUAUUGCACAAUGGGCGGAAGCCUGAUGCAGCGACGCCGCGUGAGGGAUGACGGCCUUCGGGUUGUAAACCUCUUUCAGCACGGAAGAAGCGAAAGUGACGGUACGUGCAGAAGAAGCGCCGGCUAACUACGUG